This 394-nucleotide ribosomal RNA is filed under the name Staphylococcus aureus. Its description in RNAcentral is "bacterial SSU rRNA". It matches the Rfam family "Bacterial small subunit ribosomal RNA", at positions 198 to 580 of the family's 1533-position model. The record is from RNAcentral. Lineage: Bacteria; Bacillati; Bacillota; Bacilli; Caryophanales; Staphylococcaceae.
AAGUGAAAGACGGUCUUGCUGUCACUUAUAGAUGGAUCCGCGCUGCAUUAGCUAGUUGGUAAGGUAACGGCUUACCAAGGCAACGAUGCAUAGCCGACCUGAGAGGGUGAUCGGCCACACUGGAACUGAGACACGGUCCAGACUCCUACGGGAGGCAGCAGUAGGGAAUCUUCCGCAAUGGGCGAAAGCCUGACGGAGCAACGCCGCGUGAGUGAUGAAGGUCUUCGGAUCGUAAAACUCUGUUAUUAGGGAAGAACAUAUGUGUAAGUAACUGUGCACAUCUUGACGGUACCUAAUCAGAAAGCCACGGCUAACUACGUGCCAGCAGCCGCGGUAAUACGUAGGUGGCAAGCGUUAUCCGGAAUUAUUGGGCGUAAAGCGCGCGUAGGCGGUU